RNAcentral lists this ribosomal RNA (549 nucleotides) under uncultured bacterium. RNAcentral describes it as "bacterial SSU rRNA". It matches the Rfam family "Bacterial small subunit ribosomal RNA", at positions 355 to 896 of the family's 1533-position model. The record is from RNAcentral.
UGGGGAAUAUUGGACAAUGGGCGAAAGCCUGAUCCAGCCAUGCCGCGUGUGUGAAGAAGGCCUUUUGGUUGUAAAGCACUUUAAGUGGGGAGGAAAAGCUUGUGGUUAAUACCCAUAAGCCCUGACGUUACCCACAGAAUAAGCACCGGCUAACUCUGUGCCAGCAGCCGCGGUAAUACAGAGGGUGCAAGCGUUAAUCGGAAUUACUGGGCGUAAAGCGCGCGUAGGUGGUUAUUUAAGUCAGAUGUGAAAGCCCCGGGCUUAACCUGGGAACUGCAUCUGAUACUGGAUAACUAGAGUAGGUGAGAGGGGAGUAGAAUUCCAGGUGUAGCGGUGAAAUGCGUAGAGAUCUGGAGGAAUACCGAUGGCGAAGGCAGCUCCCUGGCAUCAUACUGACACUGAGGUGCGAAAGCGUGGGUAGCAAACAGGAUUAGAUACCCUGGUAGUCCACGCCGUAAACGAUGUCUACCAGUCGUUGGGUCAUUUAAAGACUUAGUGACGCAGUUAACGCAAUAAGUAGACCGCCUGGGGAGUACGGCCGCAAGGUUA